GGGGCGGUAGCUCAGCUGGGAGAGCGCGGCGUUCGCAAUGCCGAGGUCGGGAGUUCGAUCCUCCUCCGCUCCACCA
RNAcentral lists this transfer RNA (76 nucleotides) under Gammaproteobacteria bacterium. Its description in RNAcentral is "tRNA-Ala". It matches the Rfam family "tRNA". From Rfam's summary of the family: Transfer RNA (tRNA) molecules are approximately 80 nucleotides in length. RNAcentral also lists the same sequence under 4 other names. The record is from RNAcentral. Lineage: Bacteria; Pseudomonadati; Pseudomonadota; Gammaproteobacteria.